GACGUAGGGCGCGAGCGUUGUCCGGAUUUAUUGGGCGUAAAGAGCUCGUAGGCGGCUUGUUGCGUCGACCGUGAAAACCCGGGGCUCAACUUCGGGCUUGCGGUCGAUACGGGCGGGCUAGAGUUCGGUAGGGGAGACUGGAAUUCCUGGUGUAGCGGUGAAAUGCGCAGAUAUCAGGAGGAACACCGGUGGCGAAGGCGGGUCUCUGGGCAACAACUGACGCUGAGGAGCGAAAGCGUGGGGAGCGAACAGG
Molecule: ribosomal RNA, 253 nt
Filed under: uncultured bacterium
Lineage: Bacteria
Description: partial 16S ribosomal RNA
Rfam family: Bacterial small subunit ribosomal RNA
Source: RNAcentral